UACGGAGGAUGCAAGCGUUAUCCGGCAUGAUUGGGCGUAAAGGGUCCGCCGGUGGCCCUGUAAGUCUGCUGUUAAAGAGUGAGGCUUAACCUCAUAAAAGCAGUGGAAACUACAGAGCUAGAGUGCGUUCGGGGUAGCAGGAAUUCCUGGUGUAGCGGUGAAAUGCGUAGAGAUCAGGAAGAACACCGGUGGCGAAAGCGUGCUACUAGGCCGUAACUGACACUGAGGGACGAAAGCUAGGGGAGCGAAGGGG
Molecule: ribosomal RNA, 253 nt
Filed under: uncultured bacterium
Lineage: Bacteria
Description: partial 16S ribosomal RNA
Rfam family: Bacterial small subunit ribosomal RNA
Source: RNAcentral